RNAcentral lists this ribosomal RNA (468 nucleotides) under uncultured bacterium. Its description in RNAcentral is "partial 16S ribosomal RNA". It matches the Rfam family "Bacterial small subunit ribosomal RNA", at positions 28 to 507 of the family's 1533-position model. The record is from RNAcentral.
GACGAACGCUGGCGGCGUGCUUAAUACAUGCAAGUCGAACGGACAGGCCAUGCUCUUGUGGGGUGCUCGAGAGGCGAACGGGUGAGUAACACGCGAGUAACCCGUCCUUGACUUUGGGAUAACUUCUGGAAACUCGGGCUAAUAUCGGAUAGGAGCUCCUGAUGCAUGGUGGGGGUUGGAAAGUUACGGCGGUGGGGGAUGGACUCGCGGGUUACCCGCUAGUUGGUGGGGUAGUGGAUUACAAGGUCUUUGACGGAUAGGCGGCCUGGGAGGGUGACCGGGCUCAUUGGGACUGAGAUACGGCCCAGUCUGCUACGGGAGGCAGUAGUGGAAAAUAUUGCGGAAUGGGCGGGAGCCUGAGGCGGCAACGCCGCGAUCGGGAUGACGGCCUUCGGGUGGUGAACCGCUUUCGCCUUUGACAUAGCGUGAGUGACGGUAAUGGGUAAAGAAGCACCGGCUAACUACGUG